Molecule: ribosomal RNA, 253 nt
Filed under: Bacteroides mediterraneensis
Lineage: Bacteria; Pseudomonadati; Bacteroidota; Bacteroidia; Bacteroidales; Bacteroidaceae
Description: partial 16S ribosomal RNA
Rfam family: Bacterial small subunit ribosomal RNA
Source: RNAcentral
UACGGAGGAUGCGAGCGUUAUCCGGAUUUAUUGGGUUUAAAGGGAGCGUAGACGGGUCGUUAAGUCAGCUGUGAAAGUUCGGGGCUCAACCUUGAAAUUGCAGUUGAUACUGGCGUCCUUGAGUACGGUUGAGGCAGGCGGAAUUCGUGGUGUAGCGGUGAAAUGCUUAGAUAUCACGAAGAACCCCGAUUGCGAAGGCAGCCUGCUAAGCCGCCACUGACGUUGAGGCUCGAAAGUGUGGGUAUCAAACAGG